Molecule: small nucleolar RNA, 95 nt
Organism: Caenorhabditis elegans
Lineage: Eukaryota; Metazoa; Nematoda; Chromadorea; Rhabditida; Rhabditidae
Source: Ensembl
GGUGAGCGUGUGGUCUAGGCGGGUGUGCGCGCGCUUGUCGUUCAAACCUUGGGGAGGCUUCGUUGGUUCGACCCCCGCGCGUAGUUAAAAGGGUU